This 492-nucleotide ribosomal RNA is filed under the name uncultured bacterium. RNAcentral's name for it is "partial 16S ribosomal RNA". It matches the Rfam family "Bacterial small subunit ribosomal RNA", at positions 29 to 507 of the family's 1533-position model. The record is from RNAcentral.
AGUGAACGCUGGCGGUAGGCCUAACACAUGCAAGUCGAACGGCAGCACAGUAAGAGCUUGCUCUUACGGGUGGCGAGUGGCGGACGGGUGAGGAAUACAUCGGAAUCUACUUUUUCGUGGGGGAUAACGUAGGGAAACUUACGCUAAUACCGCAUACGACCUACGGGUGAAAGCAGGGGAUCUUCGGACCUUGCGCGAUUGAAUGAGUCGAUGUCGGAUUAGCUAGUUGGCGGGGUAAAGGCCCACCAAGGCGACGAUCCGUAGCUGGUCUGAGAGGAUGAUCAGCCACACUGGAACUGAGACACGGUCCAGACUCCUACGGGAGGCAGCAGUGGGGAAUAUUGGACAAUGGGCGCAAGCCUGAUCCAGCCAUACCGAGUGGGUGAAGAAGGCCUUCGGGUUGUAAAGCCCUUUUGUUGGGAAAGAAAAGCAGCAGGUUAAUACCCCGCUGUUCUGACGGUACCCAAAGAAUAAGCACCGGCUAACUUCGUG